CAGUGUGUAUGUAUGUACAGAGUACUGUACAUGUAUGUAAGUACAUUGUCUAUGUAUGUACAGUGUAUAUGUAUGUGUGUACAGUGUGUGUGUAUGUACCUAUGGAUGUACAAUGUAUAUGUAUUGUAUGUAUGUACAGAGUACUGUAUAUAUGUGUAUGUAGGUACAUUGUCUAUGUAUGUACAGUGUAUAUGUAUGUGUGUUCAUUAUGUAUAUAUGUAUGUAUGUAUGUAUGUGUUUGUACAGUGUAUAUGUAUGUGUGUACAGUGUAUUUGUAUGUGUAUACAGUAUGUACAGUGUAUAUGUAUGUGUGUACAGUGUAUUUGUAUGUGUAUACAGUAUGUACAGUGUAUAUGUAUGUGUGUGUAUAGUGUUUAUGUAUGUACAGUGUAUAUGUAUGUGUAUAUGUGUAUGUACAUGGUGUAUGUGUGUACAGUGUCUGUAUGUAUGUGUGUACAGUGUGUGUAUAGUGUAUAUGUAUGUACAAUGUAUAUGUAUGUGUGUAUAGUGUAUAUGUAUGUACAGUGUAUAUGUAUGUAUGUAUGUAUGUAUGAACAGUGUGUGUAUAUAUGUGUGUACAGCUGGGCCAUAGUUGGCUACCCUCCCACCUUCUGCGGGAGACUCAGUUCACGGUGGAGUUUCCCGCUGCCCCAUAUUUUACAUGAAUUCCCCCAAAUUAAAUUGCAACAUCCUUAAUCAGGAUUGCACAAGUGUGAGUCCAUAUACGACAGGGUGGGUCCUGGACGAGAGGACUGGGCCAGAAGCAAACCCUAUCCACGAGCCUGCUGGUUCCCCCACCCACCUCCUGACCAAAAAACAUCUGACAAGAGCCGUCAAGAAAGGACCCCUCUGCCCCCAUCUAGAUCCCUGCUACACUGUUACUGCAGGUCAGAUGACCGAAGACUACAUUAUUGAAUAUGUUUCUGGAUAAAGACAUAGAUUUUGUCACCGGCCUCCUUGACAUGUACCAUAGCCAUGAAUGUCUAUGGAAGGUGAAAGCGAAGGGGUACUCAGACAAGAUGCAGCGGAAUGCAGCCUUGGAGUAACUAGUGGAUUUCAGCCGGCCCUUUUACUCCAUUACAGACAAGGACUGGGUUAAGAAAAAAAUCCAAAACCUGAGGACUGUGGGGGACAUUCCGACCCAUUCGCACGCAGCAGUUUAUCACUGCGGUGCGAACGGGUGCGGAUUGCGUAUGCACGGCGGCCGCAGUGUGCGAUGUUGCGGGUUACGUCGCGGCUGCCUAUGGAAGCUGUCGCAGAGCCGACCGCAAAGAAGAUUGACAGGAAGAAGGCGUUCCAGGGUGGAUACGGACCAUUUGGAGCCGUUUUCGGGGAGUCGCGAGUAAAACACCAGCGUGUCCAGGAGAGCAGAGGGCAGAUGUCUGACGUCAAAGCCGGCCCCAGCAUUGCUGGAUCCAUUGCACAGGAGUGAAACUCAAGACACGGAGAUUCCAACCACCCCGGACCUCAGCCUAAUCGCUGACACAGAGGACUCCCAGACCCCUGUUCCGUCUGUACCUGAGGCGCCUAUUGCAAAGGAUACCCCUGCAGCACCAGCUGCUCCACCUUACGAACCCCAAGCAUCCCAGAAAAGAACCCGGAAGAAAAGGCACACCAGGCAGGAGGAAGAAGAAGAUGUAAUAUUUAAACAAAUUAAACUGAGACUGGCCCAGCCCCCCGACAGCUUCUCCAAAUUUGGAGAAUCUAUGGCCUGCGCAAUGCACAUCCUGCCCGAUAAUCAAAUUGGGCGCAUCGAGCUCCUCAAUUUUGAAAUGCUCACCAAGGCGCGUAAUAGCCAAUUAAAUUAAAAUAAAUAUAUUUGUGAUGGCCUUCCUUUCACUGCUCCUCUCACCCAAUCCCAGCCUAUUCCACCCAACCAAAGCCAGGCUAUUCCGCCUACCCAACCCCAGCCUACUCUCCCACCCACCUACUCCUCAGGCAUAUACUCUGUUAUGCUGGAGGCAGAGGAGGACAUGCCUCAGUUUGAAUUUUUGUAGGCAUCUUAUAAUUCCCAAUAAAUAUGGUGGUAUAUGCUAUAUGGUGUUUUGGGGCAGAUUUUUGGCGGUGGAUACACGCAUGCUGUAGGUGCAUAAUAAUGGGGCCAGGACUAUUUAUUCUGCACUGUACAGCAUGUGUGUAUUCUCCAAUUCAAAUCUGUGACCAAAACACCAUAUAGCCCUCCAUCUUAGGACUUUAACCUUAAUAAACUGUUGUUUAAAUAUUUUAUUGAUUUGCUUAUUAAACACAAUUGGAAUGUCAUUACUCUAUGCCAUGUUGGCAACACAUUGCACAGUUCUUAAAAAAAUAAUAAUAAUUAAAAUAAAAAAAAUAUAUAUAUAUUUUAUUUUUAUUUUUUUCCUAUAA
This is a long non-coding RNA of Pseudophryne corroboree (corroboree frog), 2364 nucleotides long. RefSeq lists it as uncharacterized. The transcript has 4 exons. The record is from RefSeq and is a predicted model, not a curated record. Lineage: Eukaryota; Metazoa; Chordata; Amphibia; Anura; Myobatrachidae.